This 39107-nucleotide long non-coding RNA is filed under the name Ananas comosus (pineapple). RNAcentral's name for it is "long non-coding RNA (ACOM_LNC010956)". Lineage: Eukaryota; Viridiplantae; Streptophyta; Magnoliopsida; Poales; Bromeliaceae. The record is from RNAcentral.
AUUAAAUGAGGGGAGAGAAAAUCCGAACGUUGGAAAAAUUCUAGAAUGCAACGGGUAUAUUAGUGACGUGGCGUAACAAACCAAUCAAAUUAAUCCUUUUAAGAAUAUAUGUCCCGUCAUGAUUGUAAAAAAGUAUUUUUAUUGUACUUUUGUUUGAAAAGAAGGAAUGUGAUUGGCUUGUUAUUGAUGACGUGGUACAAGUGUGACAGUGUAGAAUUCCUCCGAACGUUGGGGGGAGAGGGGCAGAAUGGGAAGACAGGCUGGAAAUUUUGAAAUCUGACGUGGAAAGUGUUGGCGGGGAGUGGGGAAAUGACAGCUGUGAUGGGGACCACCUCGGGUCGUGUUAGGUUUACGGAGGCGCGCGCGUAGGCGCCAGCUCGUUAAUGCAAUUUAUUGCCCGCACGCUGUGCGCCACGUCAUCCGUGCACCAGAGAGGCAACUACGUCGCUGGUCUCCUAAACUUUACCAAAAUUUUUUUUUUUAUAGAAAAAACUUCAAAAAACUCCCAGUAGUUUCGUAGAUUCUCACUUUGCCCCUCUGUGAUUUAAAAUAUAUCAAAUUGCCUUCCUGUGGUUUCAUUUUUAUUUUUUCGGUAGCUUUUUCGUUAAUAUUUCAUUAAAUUAUAUAUAAAAAGCUUCAGAUACCCAUCUAGAUUUAUCAAAUAUUCACUUUAGUACGCUUUAAUUUUAACUUUAUCACUGAUUUAAAAAAAAAUAAUGAAAUUGAUAAGAAAAAGAAAAAAAGGAAACCAUAGGGGAUAAAUUGAUACAUUUUAAACCACAGGGGGGCAAAGUGCGAAUCUACGAAAUCAUAGGAGGGUUUUUGAAGUUUUUCCUUUUUUUAUAUCUAGAUUCCUUAUUUUUUAUUUUAAAUUUUAAUUACUAUUUUUGUUACCAAAAUAUUAUUAAUUCUAAUGACGUUAUAAUUAUUUUAGCACUAAGUAAUAUACACAAAGUUAAUAUCACAUCGAUGUCAAAUCUUAACUAAGUUUGGUAUUUAUCAGAAUUAUGUAUUUAGUUUGAUUAAAAAUAUUAAUAGCAUUUUUAUAGCAUAAGAUUUUAUUUAAAUAAAUAAUACAAAAUAGAAAUCUAAAUGUAAUGUUUUAUUUUUUCUAUUUCAACAAUUCGAUAAAGAAUGAAAAGGUGAACCAAAAACAUUAUAAAAAAAAAAAAAGAAAAAACUUCAAAUACUCCCCAUGUGGUUUCAUUUUUUCUCACUUUAGUAUUAUAUGGUUUAAAGUGUAUCAAGUUAGUAUUUUAUGGUUUUACACUUUUUCACUUUAGUACCCUGUGAUUUUAAGUGUAUCAAUUUAGUACCCCUAGUUUCACACUUUCUCGCUUUAGUAUUCUGUGGUUUCACACUUUCUCACUUUAGUACACUUGGUUUAGAAACCACAGGGUACUAACUUAAUACAAAAAUAAAAUCGUAGGGUUGUAACUUGAUACAUUUUAAAUCAUAGAGUACUAAAGUGAGAAAGUGUGAAACCACAGGAUACUAACUUGAUGCACUUUAAAUUAUAGAGUACUAAAAUGAAAAAGUACAAAAUUAUAGGGGAUUUUUUUGAAGUUUUUCAAAAAAAAAAAAAAAGCCAAACUCAGUGGAUUGCUUUCCUGGUGCACCAGGUGCAAGAAAUAACUUUUCCAGCAGGGGUAGCUACACCUGGGAUCCCAUUCGUACGACCUCCACCUCACAUUCAACUCGUGAGGCAUAAUCGGGGCAUCGCUUUUGGUAGCUUUUCUCUUUAUUAUGGUACUACCAUGACUCAGAAAACGAAAAAAAGAGAAAAUUGUAAGAAUUGAAAGGAAAAAACUACACUCUAUAUUUGAAUUUUUUAAAGAAAAAACUUCAAAAAACCCCCCUGUGGUUUCGUGCAUUCUCACUUUGCUACCCUGUGGUUUAAAACGUAUCAAUUUACCCCCAUGUGGUUUCAUUUUUAUCUUUUCGGAAGCUUUUUCGUUAAUAUUUCGUUAAAUUAUAUACAAAAAACUUCAGAUAACCAUCUAUAUUUAUCGAAUAGUCACUUUAGUAUCCUUUAAUUUUAACUUUGUCACUGAUUUAAAAAAUAAUAAUAAUAAAAUUGAUAACAAAAAGAUAAAAACGAAACCACAUGGGGGCAAAUUGAUACGUUUUAAACCACAGGGUAGCAAAGUGAGAAUGCACGAAACCACAGGGGGGGUUUGUGAAGUUUUCCCUUUUUUAAAUUAUCAUAUUUUUUUCUACAAUUUAAUUUGAGAGACUGAAUAUUUCAUAUUUUGUUGACGCAAUAAUAAUAUAAUAUCUUAAUAAUUAAAACAUUAUUUAUUAUAACACUGCCACAUUACUAUCAAAUUAGAAAUAUAUCAUUGUUUAACUAAUUAUUAAAUUGAUCUGUCAGAGUUAAUUAUAAUAAUUUUAAAAAAUUGAGUCAAAAAUUAAAUUAAAUUUUGAAGAUCAAAAUUUCAUGCUCCCCAUAUUUUGAGGACCGAGAGUAUUAUUUAGCCUAAUUAAAAGUUAGAACACUUUGACUGAUGGAUUAUAAGGUUGGAUAUUUAGUUCACUCAAUGACAAUUUGGGGGACUAUUUACAUAACCACAAGUUUGACUAGUUUCAUAACUUUUUCACAUCUGUUACUCUUUUGUGGAGAAUGAUGCAAUGACGAAUAUUUUUGGGUACCUAAGUUGAAAUUUGUGGAUCUGAUCACGAAACCCUCUCUAUAUUAAUCGCAGAUUAUAUUUUUUAAAAAAUGUUAAGGCUAGAUUUUGCAUUUUCUAAAAGAAGGUGUAGAGAAUCAAACUCUGAUCUCUUAAUUGAAGAUUCAGAAUACCCCGAACUUAAUCAUCAUCUAAGUAGCUUACUAGAAUUAAUACAGUGGUUAUGUGGGGUAUGAGUUCACUUCAGUGAAAAUCUCCCUAUGCGAUAAGGAUAGAGUGGGAGCAAAUUUUGUUUAUAAAAUGUCCGAAAAAAAAAGAAAAAUCAUCGCAAUCAAAGGGCAUCCAAAUUUAAACCUACCUAAACUGAAUCUCACAUCUAGCUUAAUUUUAACACUAAAAUAAACAACUGUCUAGAGCUAAGAUGCGCGAUUUUCUUAAUUAUACUCUCUCACUGCACUCUAUGUCUAGUAGUGUUGGAAAAUAAAUGAAAGGGUUCAAUUAUUAAUUAGGGUCUUAAAAUAAUCUUGUUGUUAAUUAAGCACUAGCGAAGCAGGGAUUAGCUCGAAAAAAAUGUUUUCACUGGAGUGGGAGCAAAUUGAAGUUGAAUUAACACCACUUGAAAUUUUUUAAUAAGCACUAAUUGAUCAUGAUAAUGGGUGUCAAAACAAUGUUGAAAACAUUGUUAGAUUCUUGAUGUUGGCUGGUUCUUGAAUAAAGAUAUUAAUCAGACAAAAGGAUGGCAUUAGGUACUUCAAUAAUUGUACUAUUACUGUAGCUCAUUAUUGUUCUUAAUUAUUUAGCAUAAAAAAGAAAGCACAUUUUUUUGAUGCAACCAAUGCAUUUCCUCUCAAGAAUGCUCGGUAAAAUUGUUUGUGCACUCUUCCCUUGUUUCAUAAAUUUACUGUUGUUUGAUAACAAAUUAGUUUCGCAGAUCAUGAUAUUAAUUUAGCGUUGCAGAACUCAAAGAUUAAGAGCAAAAUUAACUUUAAUACUAUGCUAUCUAAAAACAUCAGUCCGGUAAAAAAUAUUUUAGAAACAUGUUUAACAUGUUUAUUUCAGAUUCACUUAAUGCCAACAAAUGCAAAGAAAUUCACGAGUUACAAUUGAACAAAGUUUAAAGAUUUUAGAAAUCUAUCAAAACAAAUUGAAACUACUUGUUGUAAUUAUUUGGUCCACGAUAUGAUUUCUUGAGUUAUUGACAUUUUUAAAAAAUUGGACCAAUAAUAGUUGAAGAAAGUAAAAUUUCAAGUAUCUGAUCAAAUUAUUUCAAGAGGCGGAAUGUAAUACCUGUGUGACAACAUAUCCUGCCGUCUCAAACAAAUAGUUUAAGAAAUUCUUCUCACAUAAUUUUUGUCCUAAAUCCUUGGGCCAGGGGAGCAAGAACACGUCCAGCAGGGACGGCUACGAUAUUUGAGAACAAAUCUAAAUCUUUAGCGUUAUUUGCAGAAAAGGAUCUGCAACCCUUCUCAAAACUGCGCCACCCCACGUUCUUAUUCUAUCUAUCCUUUUUUUAGUAGUCUCUGAUACCAACCCAGGAGUGUUCUUUUGCUAAUCCUACUUAGCAAGCUUAUUGUUGUGUGGGUGCGAGAAAAUUAGCAUCUUAAUUAACUUAGUCCAACCACAACCCAAUCUCCUCACAUACCAAUAAUGGAGAAGUGCGAAGAGGAGAUAAACCUGUGUCCACUGUUGUUUUUGUCACUCUGAUGUAUAUAUAGAUCAUAAUAGGUUGUUUUUUUUAAUUCAUUAUUAAAGCCAUCUCUUUUUGAAAAAAAAUAAAUUAAUAAGAAGAGCGAUAUUUUGUAUCAAUAAAUAAAAAUGUCGAUGUAAAACCAACCUCGAUUCCAUCUCUAAGGUAAUUCUCACGCCAAUCUUAAAGUAAGAAAGAAAAAAGAUAUUACUAAUAUAAAUUAGUUUCACUCACUUAUCUAGAAGGUUAAAUAGGUUAAAUUACUGCUCUCUCUCUCUCUCUCUCUCUCUCUCUCUCUGGGNUUUUUUUUUUUUUUUUUUUUUUUUUUUCUUUUUGAGCUAAUAACUAAUCAAAUGUAACUAAAAUUACAGCGACAAUUCAAUGUACUGUAAGAAUUAAAGACCCCUGAAUUUGAAUCUUUUGGGCCAUCACUCAAUUAUAGAUCUCAAAAGUGUUACAUAUAUUACAGCUACACUAUUUUCCAGCUCAUGAGAACCUUCCUCUGUCACGUGCAAUCGAGAAUGAUACUACUCCAUUAAUGGUCGGCGCUAAUGCACCCUUUGACUUGAAAAUAUAUUUAUUGAGGCUUACGCAGGAACCAAGCAAGCAACAUACAUGAUCCAGCUGCCUCUUCUUAGUGUCCCUUAUCAACAAUAUAAUAAUAAAAAACAAAGGAAACUUGUAGGAAGCUCCCAGUACUGCAAUUAAGCCGCUUACCUGCUCACUGUUGCCCUAUAAAUAUAGGCCCUUCAUUUUACUCCAACACAUCAAUAUCCUCACAGCAAGCUCUCUCUCUCUCUCUCUCACUCACUUGCUCCUCCUCUUUUGCUCUCAAAUGGGUUCUUUUACUGCAGCAACAUCAAACCUUUUGCUAUUAGCAGUAGUGAUUUUUAGCCUAGUUCACUUAUCAACGGGGUCUAGUAGGAAACUGAGUGCUUUAGUAGAACCACAGCCCAAUCUCCUCACGUACCACAACGGCCAAGUGCUCCGAGGAGAUAUCCCUGUCUCCAUCUUAUGGUACGGUCAAUUUACUCCCACCCAAAAAUCCAUCAUCUCCGAUUUUCUCCUCUCCCUCACCUCCACCACUCAGUCCUCGCCGAACCCUUCUGUGUCCCAGUGGUGGAGCUCCAUAGAACAGCUUUACUUGUCGAAGGCCGGGAAAAGUGGAGGCCCAACAACGGCCCAUGUCGUGUUAGCAAGCCAAGUCUCGGAUGAGGGGUGCUCUUUGGGGAAGUCCCUUACGAUGGGCCAAAUUUCGGAGCUCGCCGCGAAGGCCCAGCCCAAGAAGGGAGGAGUUGGGCUGGUUUUCACGGCCCAGGACGUGGCGGUCGAGGGGUUCUGCAUGAGCCGGUGUGGGCUCCACGGCUCGGACCCGAGAACCGGGUCGGCGUACGUCUGGGUCGGGAACUCGGCGACCCAGUGCCCGGGCCAGUGCGCGUGGCCCUUCCACCAGCCCACCUACGGCCCACAGACCCCGCCGCUAACGGCGCCUAACGGCGACGUCGGCGUCGACGGCAUGGUGAUCAACCUCGCGAGCAUGUUGGCCGGGGCCGUUACGAAUCCGUUCGGGGACGGGUUCUUCCAGGGGCCCAAGGAGGCGCCGUUAGAGGCCGCGACGGCGUGCGCGGGUGUUUAUGGGAAAGGGGCGUAUCCGGGGUACGCUGGGGACCUGCAGGUGGAACCCACCACGGGUGCGAGCUACAACGGCAAUGGGGCCCACGGGAGGAAGUACCUGCUCCCCGCGCUGUUUGACCCGUCCACGUCCACUUGCUCCACGCUGGUGUGACAACCGUGCAUGUGUGGGAUUUAUACAUGUCGUAUGGAUGUGUAUCUAUCUAUGUGUUAGAACCGUUCGAUUCUUUGAUUCUUUUAUAUUGUUGUUGUACUAUUAAUAAUAUAUAAAUGGAGCUAAAAUUUUUUUUUGAUAGAAGCUACAACUUGAUAUUUAUAUAUAUAUAUAUAUGGGACUACAUAUAUCAGUGGUGUUUAAACACUUUGGCCCUCUCGUUGUGGCCUCCUCUCGCACAAAGGCCUGGGCUUGCACAAUAUAUAGGCCUAAAACUAAACUCGCAACAAGCUUGUUCGGUCAUGAACCUGGCCCAGUUGAGAAUUUUACAAAGCUAGUGAAGUCAUAGCCACGUGCGAAAAGAUUUGAGUUCCUACAAUCACAGAUUCGAUACAAAAGAUAUCUUUCGACAACUAACUAUAUCUAGCACAAUCAGUUAAGAGUUAAUUGGAUAGUUAAUAUCUAAGAUUCCAAAUUCUAAAAUUAAUUGUUUUACAAUUUUAGCCAAAUUUGUUUCUAAAAAAUCAACGAAAUAAAUAGCAAACUAUUUUUUUUCUAAAAAAUAAGACUGCUCAUGAUCCCUAUGUACUUGGUUCGAUAAUGAGGAUACUUUGAAAGAGUUAAUGUUUAAUAUGUUUGAGUUGAACAAAUUGAAGUUCUCAUGAAUCAAGCCCUUCUGGUUAAAUGGCGGUGGAAAUUCCACAUAGCUCCCCAGUUACAAUGGAAUCAGCUAGUCAGAGACCUGUACUACCGACGGCAUACUCCUUUGAGGGAAGGUAAAACUUUCAGACCCUACUCUAGCUGGUGGACGGGGGUGCUGAGCCUUAACUAUAUCUUUUCUUGGGGAAUGGCCUACAACCUAGGCAACAGGCGGGCUAUUGAUUUUUGGCACGAUCGGUGGUGUGGGGACAAUUUGAUGUUUCUUUUGUUUCCGACGGCCUACCUUAUGUCUGGGGGGAAAAAUUUGAAAGUCGGCGACUGUUUUACGAGGGGAAGGUGGAACUGGUCUUUGAUUGAGGGUGGCGCUGCGAGUCAGAGCCGAGGGACGAGGGCCAGUUUCGGGGAGUUAGAGGAACGAAUCUCUCAGCUCUCAGUUCGACCCACACCGGACAGGUUACUUUGGCGAUGGAGUGCAGAUGAACUAUUCACGGUAAAAUAAACCUAUAUGGCGUUGACGGAUGGGGGUACGAGGGACGCUCGAGCUUCUCGUGUUUGGAGACUCAAAAUCCCUUUAAAGGUAAAAGUGUUAUGUUGGCUGGUCCUUAAGAAGAGAACUCCUACGAGGGACAAGCUCUUCAAGAGAGGGUUGAUUCAAGACCCAACCUGUGUACUUUGCGGGUCGGAAGAUGAAACUGUGGAUCACAUGUUUUCCCAGUGCGUUUUUACCAUGUUUUUAUUAGUAAUGGGGGUAGUGGGCGUGCAAACACAAGACCUGGGGGAUGAGGUGAACCUAGUCUGGGACAGAUGGUUUGUCAGGAAGAGCCUACACACGAAGAGAAACAGUCUCACUGAGUUAGUUUGCUGCUGGUGGAUCGCUUGGAAAGCCAGAAAUGAUUUCAUCUUUAGGAAAAUCCAGCCGAAUCCAGAAAUGGCGAUCCGCUACCUAAAUCAGUUGGUGAAGGAGUGGGAUUCACUGCUCUCAGCUGCCGUUACGUGAUCUCUACCUGUACUUCUUUUUCUUUUUUUUUAGGGGCCCGAGUUGUCCCACUCUUAUAGCCUAGUUCAUCUUCCCAUUGAAUGAAGCGGGUAGCAUGCUACCUUUGUCUAAAAAAAAAAACAAAUUGAAGUUCUACGAUCAACCGUGUAACUCGUGACUUCUACAUUUCUAACGAAGAUAGAUUCUGCAUUGUAUGAUUUGCUCUGGCGUUUAUAUUCACUCCACACAACACUUCUAAUAAAACUCAGAUUACAAACAAUACGGAUCCUUCUUCUGCGCAAUAUCUAGGAGACUAACAAAUGAAAAAUAAACAAAAAUCACACACCGUCCGUUUAUCAUCUACUACCCUUUUAAAGCUGUCAAUUCCCUCUACCCUCCAAAGUAUGCUUAUAAUAAUAAUAAUUUACUUGGAUUCACCGCCACGAUCAAAAUAAAUAAAAAAUGCCAAUGUACAUGCAUCUGCUUCAUAUUGGAAUCGUACCGGUGUAAGUGAAGAUCUUGCAAAAUGUAGCUGCUCCCCUGUGCCCCUCUCUGCGAGACCACAUUGGAGACAUAUGUAUGGUGCACACCAUAAUAUGCACACAUGGCGCUCAGAUUCCGAGGCUUUAGUACACUACCAAACAUGAACUAAAUCUAACACCAGCACGGCCACAAUUGUUUUAGCUUAUUAUUUUUAUCUGAUGUUGAUGUGGUAAUCGUAAGCGCUAACCAACUAUUCCAAACACACCUGUUGAUAAGAAAGGUUCACCAAUCGCAUUUAAGGGCUCAGUCACAACGCUCGUGAAUUUCAACCUGACUCAAUAUUUCUGAAUGUUGGGUCUAUUAUUAGAUCUCUUACUGUUAGACCUCUUGUGGUUCGCAUCUUCAUUCAACUUAUUAGACUUAUCCAACUCAAGUUAUUAGUUUUUUGAGUCUAUUGUCACAGGACAAGAUAUUAAUUCUAUUUUAGUCCAAUAAUAAAUAGCCAACAAUAACGUGCAUAUUGUGAAUGCAUUUGAGAUGUUUUAUACAUCUUGUUUGACAUUCCACAUAAAUUGAUCAAUUAAGUAGCUAUUAGAAUAUUAAAAUUUUGAUGUAUUGGUAUUAUAUUGAAUACGCCCAUCUAAGAUGCACGCUGCACUGUACAGUACGGUCUCUGUUUCUUGGAUUUGGGCAUUCGGGAUGGACACUGGACAUGGGCAAAGGGAAGUGUUUCCCACAUCCCGUGAAUAUGGUGGCGUUAUGAGUUGUGUUCACACAAAUGGGGUCAGGUACAGAGUUUUAGCACGUGGGAACCAUCACCCAACACGUGAUGGCCCAUUGCUUGUUAUUGUGUGUCGACUUUCACUGUAGCUGCAGCAGUACCCACGCGUGAAGUCCCCAAAUCCCAAUCUAAGCUUUUAUUUUUGGCAACAUGUGUGGAUAGUCCAUUUAACAUCAGAUAUUAAAAUUCAUUUAUUAAAUUUUUUUGGGAAAACUUCAAAAACCCCCCAUGUGGUUUCGUGCAUUCUCACUUUGCUACCCUGUGGUUUAAAACGUAUCAAUUUGCCCCCCUGUGGUUUCGUUUUUAUCUUUUUGUUAUCAAUUUUAUUAUUAUUUUUUUUUUAAAUCAGUGACAAAGUUAAAAUUAAAGGAUACUAAAGUGACUAUUUGAUAAAUAUAGAUGGUUAUCUGAAGUUUUUUGUAUAUAAUUUAACGAAAUAUUAACGAAAAAGCUUCCGAAAAGAUAAAAAUGAAAUCACAGGGGGGUAAAUUGAUACGUUUUAAACCACAGGGUAGCAAAGUGAGAAUGCACGAAACCACAGGGGGGGUUUUUGAAGUUUUCCCAAUUUUUUUUCGCUUAAAAAAAUUUUUUUUUUUUUGUUUCUAAUUUGUACGUGCAUUGCAUUGGAGGCUGGUUUUCUAUAGCCUUGUGCGCAAACAAAGUUCUUACAUAUUUUAGUUAAUUUAUUUUAUUCGUAAAGUAUAUUAAAUAUAUCUGUAAAGAUAAAGACGUUGAUCAAUUCGAAUUAAACAAAUUAAUAUUUUGAAAGAAUAAUAAAUAGCGAACUCAAAAUGAUCCAUAGUACACGUAAUACUCGCUUAUUUUAGUCAAGUACACACUUUAACAAACAUUGUUCAGUAGCACGAGGACUAUACAUUCAAUUUAUUCGUUAUUUCAUGAAGAAGGGAUUGCAUGUUCUACUUUUCUUUCUCCUUAUUUUUUUUAAAAAAUAUUUUAUGAGAAGUGAGAAUCGAUCCCCUGGUCCAUUAUGCAUCUUUAUGUGAACAUUCAUUAUUUUUGAAGCUCAAUUAAUUGAUCUCUAUCGACUCAUUUUCCUAUGCCUCCCGGUUCAUGCACCCGUGCUCGCAGUUGCAGUGGCAGUCGAUUCUCAGAAGCGCUUCUUCUUAACUUUGGAAAAUUACUUCUCGGAAUAGCUGAUUAAUUGCUUCCCUGUCUGAUUGCUUCACGAGUCUCCCGUACGUACCUAGAUUAUGAAGCCUUAUUCAUGUUCGAAUUAUUUUUUAAUUCCUCAAAUCCUAAUAAACCUACAAGUUUGGUUUUACUCGAAAAUGUUAAUUUAAGAUAAAAAAAUAUAUAUAUAAUUCGCGAUCUACGAAUUUGAUCUUGUUAUGUAACUUGCAUUUGUUUCGCACACUAGUACCAGUUCAGUACUCGUAUAUUUAUGUGUUUGCACUAGGCUUAUGCCAUACUAGUAGUGUGUCAAGCAAGUGGCAGAAAUAAAUAAAAAAAUAAUAUUUUUUAUCAGCGGCUAUGUAACUGUAGUAAUUAUCACAUUUGUUUAUUUACUUUACCAUAAAUUUUUGGAUUUGCAUGUAAAGAGAUAAAAAUAUUUAUAAUAAUUAAUUUUCAUUCUUUUUUAUCUUUUUUUCUUCUGUGCUAGACUUGGAAUAAAUUAAUUACAACGUUAUGAAAAAAAAAAAGAAAAGUUACCCACGGCAAAUCAAAACUGUAGAACUAAACAUUUGCGAUAAGAAAAAAGUUUUUUACUUUCUCUACUUUGAAAAAUAAACAUGCCUGAAGUGGCAUGGUUAAUGCUAUCCAAAUGGAUCCUGACACUGUUGUUUAGCUAAAACGUGCACGACAAUUUUCUUUCUUUAAUUUAUUAUUUAUAUUUUUAUUGUGACUUAUUUUUCAUGCCAUAAUUAAGAUUUUUAUUUUUUGUUUUUUUUUUAGAGAUAAGUAGAACGCUACCCGCUUCGUUUAUUUCAUUUAGAAAUAAACUUAGCUGAAAAUAUAAAUCAACUAGGAUUCGAACUUAAAACCUCAUAUACUGAUCAUAAUUAAGGUUCUCACUCCCCAACAAAGCGUAGCUACGAGACACUGCCCUGUGAUCUGGCUUGGGCCCUGCUCUUUAUCUUUCCUCCAUUUUUGAGUUCCAUAGGUUAGGCCACAACCUACUAAUAAAGCUUUUAUAUAUAUAUAUUGCAAUUUGCAAACAGUGGCAGUUAAGUCACGGAUCCAUUAGGAGAAAAUUACAAACGGUUCCUCGUCACAUGCAGGAUCGACCAUUUUCAUAAUGUUUUUAUAAAUCAAUGCAUAAAUAAAUUUCCCACAUUUCUCAACUUCUCAUAGAACCCAAUUCAUCUCCAAAAAUGUCUGAUAUUGUGUCGCAAUUAUUUGUCACGCUCUUACUAAUAGGCUCAAGAUAUGAAUUUAAAUAAAAAAUUAUUUAUUUUUUUUGCUAUGAUGCUAUACGAAAUAAGAUACAAUUAUUAUUGUUUUCUAAAAAUUUAAAUUAUUAACUAGCAGUAUUUUAAUAUUAUGUUCAACAUUUAAGGAAGGUUUUAAUGGUGAAUACCCAAUUCUACAUCCCUAAAAAAGGAGAAAAAUAAAAUAAAAAAUAAAAAAGAGUUGUUAGAAUCGUUUUUCAAAAGUAAAAUAAAAAAGAAAAUGUAGCAACCAAUGAAAAAUGGACACAUGUAUUGGAAAUUACUAGAGCUUUUGCACUACACGGCCCACCGCCGCUAAUUUUUAUUUGAAGAGAUUCGGUUUUGCUACUUUAAUUGUAGGAGUUGUUGCAUUAAUUAAGAACUUAAUCUCAUCAUAUAAGUUUUAAUGCUAAUCCUCUGUGCUUUGUCGAGUUUACCAAUAAAUAUUUUUAAAAUUUGUGCUAAACUAUUUCUAAAUAGAAAAUUGAAACUAUAACAAAGAUAUAAAAGUUAUCUAAAAUAGUAUUGUGGUGUUAAAAUAUAUAUUCACUAGUAAUAAAAAUUUCAACCUGGGUUUCAAAUAUUUCAAUGGAUAGAAACUCUGAUGAGCAUUGUUUUAUUUGUUGUUCUUAUGUUUUCUUUUUUUUUUUUUUAAAAAAAAUGCUCUAAUAAUUGGAGACCAAAGGAACAUUGAUGACGAAUUGACCUAACAAUUUUGCAUGCCUAGCAUAAUGCCACAAGGUUAUUCUUUGGGUCCCGCACUAAGAGUCAAUUAUGCACUGCACAAAUUUAUACAAUAUAUUAAAUUAUAUGUUUAAACCAAUUCACUUAAAAAUAAAUAGAUACAACGCUUACCGAUUUUUGAACUCGUGAUCUCUCACUCUAAUACUAUUUGCCGAAUCGUUGGCGCUAGCCACUACUAAAAACUCGAACCGCUAGAAAAGAACAAUCAAUUCACUUAAUGCGAACAUACACAACAGCCGACGAGUCUUAAUUGUGACUCGGUUCAAUCCGAUCUCCGCCACGUGAUAGGACGCUGACCCUGACCCUUUUAAGUCAAUAUUCGUCAAUUAUAUAUGCUAAAACAUGCAUCCAGUACCUAUAAAAAAAACAGGAGAUGUAUAUUAGUUCUUAGAUAAAAAGUCUUAAUAGAGUUUCUAAACUUGAAUUUACUUCAAUUAAUGUCUUCUUUUAAAUGGCAUGGUGGUUCCUUACACCAAUCCAUUAAUCUGGAUUGCAUAACAAGCUUGCCUAAUAUUCCUAUUAUUUUCUUGCUUUUACUGGAUGAGACCACCAUGUGUAACUACACUCAAAGCAUGCAUCAAGUUCUUUGGUCCUGACCAUCUUAUCUUUAGUUUGGUAAUCAUUAUGGCCACAGCUUCAUUAUCAUACUUUCCUUUAGAAAUUUGGGAUCUACAAGAUAAUUUAAUACUCUAAGCAACACAUUACUCAUACCGAAUUGUAUUCUUCUUUGUAAUCAAUUAUCGACCGAGUCUGUAAUAUAUGUUAUCCAGAAAGAUCGAUGUGAUACUGGUUGAAUUUGAAAACUUUUAUAAUAGAGAGAGUUUGAAAUUAUUAUGAUGUCAUUUUAUCGAAAAGACAUUUAAUAAAGAGUAGUUUAGAAAUAGUUUUGAUAUAUGAUACAUGCAUUGUCAAAUUAGACCUCACUCAAAGUUCCAUCCUGCUUGGGCCAAACCCAACAAAAUUUAAAGCUGCUUUUUCCCCUCUAAAACAGAGCCUUUAGCUCGUGGUUCUCUCUGCCCAAUGCUCUGUUUACUUAUUUUUAAUUCACAAAUUUAAAGCUUAAUUUCUCAAACUCCCCACUAAUCCAUAUAACUAUUCACAUGCGUUGCCACAGGAAACACCUAGGAACCCUCACUCAACACAUGCACCCCAUCCCCUUUCUCGCAUUUAUCUAUCUAUUUCCUUUGAGCCGCACCCAAAUACACUAGCAGAGAAUAAUAUCUAUGCGAGUUAUUCCAAAGCAUAAAUUAACAAAACAAAGAAUCCGUAACAUAAAUUAACCUUUAAAAAAGAAAAAAAAAAGAAAAAAAAGCCCACAAGGGGGAAAUAAAUGCUUGCCACGUGUCACAUCUCCUACUCUAAUGGUCCAUCAUCAUUAAUCAUUAAUCUACUUAAAAAAUUGAAGCAGUGUUUCUCACAAUACACGUUUCCCUUUAAUUUUUUUAUUUUUUUGCCUUAUUCAUGCACCAUUUCCACAAUUCCGCCUAUAUAUAUAUCCCCCUCUCCUCAAUCCAAUCUCAUCACCUCAUCUAAAAGCUCUAAAAAGGAAAAAGCUCUUUCCCUAUAAUGUCACACAUCUCUGAAACAAAGGCCACUUGUAGUUUCCUUCUUAUUUUUCUUGUGGGCUUCGUAGAUUUUUGCUAUGGCUCUAGAAAACUAAGUUCUCUAUACCAACCACCCCCCACUCUCCUCGCAUACCACAAGGGUGCUUUACUCCAAGGAGAAAUCCCCAUCUCUAUACUGUGGUAUGGUAAGUUCACCCCUGCACAAAAAUCCAUCAUCUCCGAUUUCAUUCUCUCACUAUCUAGUCCCUCCUCAACUCCAAUUACACCCUCCGUUUCCAAAUGGUGGAGCAACGUAGACAACCUAGUACAAAAAGCGGGUAAAAACAAGACCCACAUCACCCUUGCUCACCAAGCAUCCGACGAGCACUGUUCCAUUGGGAAAUUGCUCAAGAGGACACAGCUACUCGAACUGGCCCGCAGAACCGGUUCGGCGAAGGCCGGGGUGGCGCUGGUCCUCACCGCGGCCGACGUCGCGGUGGAGGGCUUCUGCAUGAACUCGUGCGGCUCCCACGGUGCGGUCGGUAGCGACGGUGCGGCAUCGGCGGCGUACGUGUGGGUCGGAAAUUCUAUGGCGCAGUGCCCGGGGCAGUGCGCGUGGCCGUUCCACCAGCCGGUGUACGGGCCGCAGAGCCUGCCGCUCGUCGCCCCGAAUGGCGAUGUCGGCGCCGACGGCAUGGUGAUCAAUCUCGCCGGCCUGCUGGCGGGGGCCAUCACGAACCCCUUCGGUAGCGGCUACUUCGUGGGGGACGCAUUGGCGCCCGUGGAGGUGGCGGCGGUGUGCGCGGGGGUUUACGGGAAAGGGGCGUAUCCGGGCUACGCCGGGGAACUUCCGGUGGACUCGGCAACGGGGGGGAGUUACAACGUGGAGGGAGUGAACGGGAGGAAGUUUCUGGUUCCCGCCAUGUUCGAUCCUCUCACUUCUACGUGCUCUCCUGUUGUGUGAAGUGGAGUGAGGUGAUUGAUGGCCCUUUUUGUAAAUUGAUGACGCAUAUGUGAAUAACAACGAUGUUGUAAUAAAAUUUAUGAUUGGUGGUGGAGUUUUCAAAAAAUUGGUGAAUAUUUCUCCAUGUUUUUCAUUACUAUAUAUAAAGUAAGGUUUUCAUUACUAUAUAUAAAGUAAGGGAUAAUUUACCAAUUUAUUGGGUGAUUCAAAUAAUUUAGAAAAAAAAAAAGAAAAAUUCUCUGACAGGCCCAGUGUGUAAUGGAUCGUAGCUAAUAAAAGGCCGAGCCAAUACGUAUAUAGGCCCCCAAUUUCUCCCACUCCAAUAGCCCAAUUCCUCAGCAAUUCUCCAUCCCCUAUUUCCCUCCUCUUCCUCUCCCUCUCCCCUCUCUUUCUCUCUCUAUUGGUAUUUUUCUCUCUCUAGAUCAUAUGGGAUUUGGGGCUUCGAUCUCUCUCUCAUGAUCUCUUGUUCUCUCUAGAUCGUGUGGGAUUUGAGGCUUCGAAUGGUGUAUGCAUCGCCGCAAUGCCCCACUCGGCCUUCGACGAAGCUCUUUGGCGAUUGCUACGGCCAAUCAAUUGCUCAGAAUCCUAAUCUAGGUAUUUUCCUCUUACUUCGCCCUCAUGAUUUCGGUUUUCCCCAGAUCAUCGAAGCCCUCAUGCGAUUGAUGCUUUGUGUUGUUGGAUUCAUUUGUUUGAGUGCGCAAAAGCUAUCGAAGAGUUCUUGAUAUUUAGAUUUUAGCUCUUAAUUGAAAGCUACAAAAUCAACAAUUACAAAAUUAGGCCAUAGAUGUACUGAUGUGUUGUACAUGGAACUUAGUUGUUUUUGUGUGGUUGUGAACGAGAUGCAAACGACAUCGCAGUUUAUGUUAAUGGGAACGUGUAAAUCGAGUGAUCUGACAGUGUAGGUGUAUUGAUUUAUGGUUGAAGUAAAUAGUCAUAUUGAUUAAGCUUUUAGGCCACAACAUGUAUAGUAGAGUUGAGCAAUCGUGUGACACACUAAGAUGUUACUGGCCAACUUUCGAUGUUAACAAAGAAGAGUGUUACCUACCAUCCCUAGGGUAAGUGGCCAAGGGCUCGGUGGUUCGUAUCCGAGGUUCUAAGUUCGAAUUCUAGUUGAUUCAUAUUUCUAGCUAAGUUUAUUUCUAAAUGAAAUAAAUAAAGCAGGUAGCGUGCUACCUAUCUCUCAAAAAAAAAAAAAAAACAAAGAAGAGUGUUCGAGUGUUGAAUUGUGCUAUAAAUUAAGUCAAUGAAGUUCUGACACUGAAAUGAAGUAGUGAGAAUUACCAUUAAGCCUUCAGGAUAAAGCUUCCACAAAUUCUUAAGCUCAUCAUUUUAAAAGUGUCUUCCGUAGAUUCUUUCUUGUGAUUAUAAUUAAACGACGAUAAAUCGGAUGGGGCUAUCACUAGGGUAUCGAAUUACAAUCCAAGCUGAGAAGAUAUCAGCAAACCGAACUAUAAAGCUUCCUUUAUUCAACACGUUUAAAAAUCGGGUCAAACAACGACUUGGAAUAUUACUAGAUGAAGGGUCACUGAUACAUCCAGUGAGUCAACCAUUAGUUGAACCAGUAAAGUCAGUAUAAUAUCGUAAAUAUUUUAUUAUAUAAUAUAUAUAUAAUAAUAUUAUAUAUAUAUAGAGAGAGAGAGAGAGAAUUAAACUGGAAUGUUAUCAGUAGCAAACAGGCUCCGGUGCUAUCCAUUUAUUUUCAAUGAUAGAGUCUUCAAAUCGACGAUCGGCAUCGUAGAAUAUGAUUUAUACCACUUGAAGUAUCUAGAAAUCAAGUUUCAAAUCUUUUCGACAUUAUUGAUCUAAUGAGCAAAGGUUUUCAAAAUUUGUAGUUUUAAUGGUCAAUAUGAUGUGAUUUCGCGUUUAACGGUAUAAAGAUAUCCAAAUUAAUUGAAUUUUGAUUAGAAAUUUUUUUGGUUAGAAAAUUUUUUAAACUAUCCAAAAUAAGAUCUAUACUUUUGAUCUUGAUUACAAGAUCCCUAUCAUCACUUUUUAAAAAAUAUUCAUUUUCAGCUGUUCAUUUUUUGUGUCCACUUGAUGAACAAAAGGAUAAUAUCGAAAAAGUAUGAAAUUUGAUUUCUAGAUGCUUCAAGUGGUAUAGAUCAUGUUCAAUGAUGCAGAUUGUUAAUUUGGAGGCUCCAUCAUCGAAAACAAAUGAGUGGCAACGGAACUUGUUUGCUACUAAUAGCAUUCCAGUUCAACGCUAUAUAAUAUAUAUUAUUAUUCUAGUAUCAUGCUUAAUUUUAAAGUAUUGAUUUUUAGACCAAAUUAAGUAAUAUAAAUUUUUAAUUUACAUAUUUUAUAAGACGCUAACAGAAAAUAAAAUCAGCUAAGUUGAUUUUAGGUUGUUGGAGUUUAAUAUGACUUAAUCAAAAACAUCCAGCCGGUUCAAUUAAAACUGGGCCGAUUCAUCAACAUGAACGGUUUGAAGCGGUUUUCAUCUUAUCCGGUUCAAAGGUUGAACCGAACCGCUUCAUAGACUGGUUACAGUUAGACCGGUCAAACCGCUUGGUUCGCUCAAUUUUUAAAUCAUUGCUUUUAGUUGCAACAAAAUUCAGAAAUUAGGGUUAACUUUAGAACAUAAAUAGAAAAGCGAGAGAGAGACGAGAUUGGAGACUAUUUCUAUAUUGAUGUUAUUAUUAAUCUCUCGGCAAUCAGACACAAAUGAAGUGGAUAGUAUGUAAGAUUGUUAAAUAUCCUGCCCCACAUCAGUCCUUUUCUUCUGUCGAUCAUCGUACUCCUUUUUUUCAAUUAUCUUGCAUAUUAACCUUAUUUACUAUGUGCACUGGUGUCUCUACAUGCUGUCUUUGACCAGUGAGUCACGCUGAUAGCGAAAUUCACCCUCAGCGCUUUUUCUCAUAUUUCUACUUCUGUGGUUACCGUAAGCUCUGCAAGAUCUGCUCAUUUUUAUGUUAGUGGAUCACAUUUUUCGUAUAAUCAAGCAUAAAGAGAUCUAACUGGACAAGGAUCCAACGCACAUGAAUAUGUAGAAGUGAAAAAUCCAAGCCUAAUUAAUACUAUCGUUGAUUCUUUAUUAGUUAUUUCCUUCUUUUCACAUUUUCAAUUGUGCCCUUUUUUUCAUGUUUCCCGAUGUCCUUUGCAUAUUAGUGAUUUUGUAUAUAUGCGAAUAUUGAUCCUAUGUUGAUAAAGGAAAAUGUAAUGUAUGUUGAUCUGUUCAUUGCUAGUAUAAUGUUUGCUUAUUUCCACAUUAUUAAUUGUCAAAUGGGAUGGGAAUGACUCGUUGACAUUUUAUUCUCUUGCACUACGUUAGCAAAAGAUAUAAAAGCAACGGUAGAAGUUAAUCACCUGUAUUUGAAUUGAAAGUGAUCCGUUGAAUAAAAAAUGAACUUGUUUACUUAAUUACCAUUUAAUCUUCAUGAAGGUUUAUUAUCUGUCAUUUGUACAAUUUAUUAAGUAGUUUCUAUAAAGGUUUUUUUGUCCCCUUAUUCAUAAUUACAGCGAAAAUUUAUUAAUUUAUUAUUUUGAACUUGAAACUUCACAUGCCUUUGCUUGCCCUGAUGCUAAGGCCGCUGAAAUCUUAUGAUUUGGUUGGAGAUGCAUCCUAAGGAAAUUGAUAAAGAAAAGUCUUGCACAACUUGCAGUAGGUGUCUUUUCAUUAUCGAACAAAAGCAUUCAAUUCCUUGACCUGGUCUACUUGUCUCCUAUUUUACUCGACCGUUGAGAAGAAAUGAAAGACGAUGCUCAAUUUUUUGCAUGAGAUAAUAAAACCUUGAGAUAUUCACAGAUUGGCAAUGUAAAAUUGGCAGGUCUCUUUUUCUUUUUCCAUUAAAGACUUUAUUCCUUUACACAGAUCCAGAUGGCCUUUUACUUCCUUCUCUAGAUAUUUUUCAAAAAAUGGGUGAAGUGAGGAGUAAACUAUGCAGCACUUCACUUAAUAACCUAUCAAGAACUAAAGGUUCCGAGAUUCUCUUCAGUUUUUUAUUGGAAAUCCAUUCAAGACAGACAACUUCAGCUGUCAUUGAUAGCAAAAAGGGCUCAUUACAAUUAUAGGUGGUCCCUCGCAUAUUUGGUGUCGGUUUCAGUUCAAUGUAGUUGACCAGAAUUUUGGUAUCCUAUUGAAGACAGAAGGACAGCUCCUUGAAGACAGAUUGGAUAAAGAUGGGUAGAACUGGGAGCAUCCUAUUACUGAGUUUCAAAGAUUAAACUACAGUAUUUGAAGGCUGUGAAGGAUAUAGCUCAUUUUAUCUGCCUAUUUUCAUCUAUUUCUUUUGAUUUCUCAAAAGUCAUUUUCAACUUCCCUUUUCAGCGUUAUGUUAUGUGUUGUAUUCUACAUGUUAAUGACAAAUCUUAUCUUGGUCAAUUGAACUUUAUGAUCAACAUUCGAUGUGAGUAGCAUCAUGUAUUUUUCUUGCGGAGUACUUUUGCUUAUAGUAUUGGUUGUUCAAUCUUGUUAAAACUCAUCAGGUUAGAUGUGCACACUGAUGUUCUGUUCUUAGUCAUUAAACAAACAUGGAUAGCUGUAAUUUCGUAAAUUUAAUUAUAUUCUGAUCUCUUUAAAAUGCAGGAGUGGUAGCUUGUCCAUUCGACUGUAAAACAACAUAUGCUUCAGACUUUUUAAAAGGUUGCUUAUUUUCCCAGUAUAGGGAAGGCAGAAUACAUUCAGAGCACUGUGCUUGUUGAACGUGAUGGCAGUGUCUUACUGACUAUUUCGCCCAGUCCAACUAGAUCUCGAUGAAUUCAUUGAAGUGGUCAUCAAACAUAAUGAAAGGUUUUUGUUUUUUAGGACCACUUACUUGUGGUGUGGUAUGGCCUUCAUCAUGAAUUCUUGAUGGGAGAAAACUCUACUGUACUACGUCGUUCGUCUUCUGGGCCUAUUCAGAGUGGUCCAAUAUAUCUGCCAUGGGCUUGUCCUUUUAUAAAUUUACCUUCUGGGCUUGUGCUAUUUUUCCCUACUGACCCAAUGUCAACUUUUUAUGAACUUAUUCUGAGUCUUAACUUCCUGUUAUUUGAACAGUAGUAAGCAUUCUAGUUUUGUUAUGUCAAUAUUAUGUCUGUUAUUUUCAAGAUUACUUUUAUCACCGUAUCAAUAAAAUCUUCCGCAGAUAAUUGCUGUAAGUUAGGUCUUGCCAUUUAGAAGGAUGCUAACAUUUUGAAGUUUUAGUUGGAUUGCAUCAUCAGAGGUCCACAUUCCGAGCACACAUAGACAGUGGCACUGUGUCUAACAUCCCAAAUGCCUUGUUCGGAGCAUUUGUUACAGCAACUGAAUUGGUCAUUGGACUGGAAAGCAUCUGGUUUAGAAUUUAGCGUUAACAAGUCUGGUUCUCCGCCUUUCCUACCAUCGCAAACAAAACCAUUUUUGGCGCACAUAUUAGGUUUAGCCCAAACUCACAUGAAACAAGAUAUCACUUAUCUAAUGUAACCCAUCUAACUGGCAAGCUUAAUCUCACACAUUCAGACCGAUGUCAUAGAUUAGCUCUUUAAACUCUUUUAACUUUUAUUCCAUCUGGAAAUAUAUAUCUUUAUAUGUGAAAAUCUUAGCAAUUUUGCUUUCCCCUGUCAUCCUUACUUAUUUUCCCUAGUUCUAUUGACUUGUUUGCUUCCCUCCAGGUGGUGGGCCUCUGCUUGGUUGGUGAUCAGAUUCAAGGCCGCUGUAUGCGUUCCCCCACCCCCAUGUGAGAAAGUAAGGUAGUACGUACCUUAUAAAUUAUUCUCUGCAUCUCUCUUUGACUUGCUGCUUUUUCUUUGUUUUCUUGUCCUCUCACUUUUUCUAUGGUUGUUUAACAAAAUAUAUUUACAUUAAUCACUGGUAUCUUUAAUGUGUCAUAUGUACAAGUUUUUUUUGAUCAUUUGAUUUACAUAUCAGCCCUUUAAUCCUCCUUAGCUCUCCUUUUGUAGAUUGAAUAUAAAAUAGUAAAAUUUUAUUCUCUAAUUUUUUUAAAAAAAUCUUAUAUUAGAAUGUUAAGUUUUGAGUUUAAAUCCACCAUUGAAUUUCGUAAGGUAUUUAAUGAGGUAUCUUAGCUUAAAUCGAAGUAGUCUAAUAAAAGUAUUUAUCCUUCGGACUUGCUAAAUCCACUAGUGAUAACAUUGAUGCAUCUGCUUGUAUAGUUUUCUCAAGAAAGUAUAGAUCUCAGAUGAUGCAAUUAUAAGUUUCUACCUCUUUCUAUUCUCUUUUUCCUCUACUUUUUCCUCCAAGACCGUGAUCUGUGAACAGCGAUCAAAUUUAUAUCUAUAUCUGCUGCUAGUAAACUAUUAUCUGUUAACAAACAAUUCCACCUUUAGGUUUAAGGAGGCAUUACAAAAUUUUUUUUGUCUUUCCUUUUUCCUGCAAAUCUCUUUUUCCUGUAUUUUUCUACCAAGACCAUGAUCUGUAUAUCGUAGAAAAGAAGUGAAGCUAACAUCCAUUAAGGCCAGUUUCUCUCUGUCAAUAUGACAGAUAAAGAGAUAGAUGGAAAGAACAAGACCUCAUGGGCUAUCUUUUCUUUCUUUUCUUGCACAUCCUACCUUCUCCUAUUCUACCCACCUGUAUUCUUUCACCAAUAAAAGAGAUUUGUACCAGAUACCACCAUUUCACAGUUCUUCUCUCCGUGAUUGGGGCUCUGAAUCCUUCUGCAUGCUACUUGGCUAAUCUCAGUAGGAAGAUUGUGCUCAGAGGUUGAUCAAUGAGAAAAUAAAAUCAAUUAAAGAAGCAGGGGCAGAGAACCUCACUCAUGAUUCCUUAGUACCUUUUCUCGCAGCCUCUUUCCCUCUCUACCACAGUAAAAAGAGAAAUUAUUCCAUGUACCACACUCUAUGGACCAUGGUCUUAAAAACUCUCUAGUCUGGCUCAGAUGACAAGAGAUUGUAAAUUAAAAUACAAGUACAGUACUACAUGAAAAGAGUAAUAAAUGAUGACAAGAAUAAAUAAAAUAAUUAAUAGGUGAAAAUUGAGCCUUCAAUAUUUAAGUUGUUAAACUACGCUUUAUAUCAGCGGCACUUCAAAUUCAAAACCGAUGACAAUAAAAUUUAAAUAUAAGUCAUUAGAUGCAAUUUACAAUCUUUAAAUACCUUAUGUAUAACAUAUCACAGUUUUUGAUCUAGUUGUUUAGAGAGCUGUAAAUAGUUUUCCUUUUUUUUUUUGUGGAAGUUAGUAAAUUAUCUGUUUUAUUUAUUUUUUAUAAAAAUAAAUUCAGUUAAAAAUGCGUAAUAAUUAAAUUUUGAACUUUAAGAUCUCGGUUACUGAUCAUCAAAUAUACUUUGCUGACAAUGCAAGGUAAUUUAGAAUCUUGGAUUUGAGUUAUAAAUCUCUGGUCUAUGCCCCGUGGUCCAUGCAAUAAUUUGUCUGGUUAAAUGUUUCCGAUCCUUUUCUCUCGGGCACACAGCCUCUCUCUCCAGUCAUUCAUACGGUUGCAGUCAAAUCCAUUUCCCCAAACGAUAGUGAUUGUUGGGUAUUAAAUCCAUCCUUGUGAUUAAAUAACUCACACCCUAUCAAUAUCACUUUUGCCUCUCCUUUUCCACUUUCCCACUCCUCUAUCUCCUCCCUAGCGGCUUCGAGAGAGAGAGAGAGAGAGAGAAGCACACACACAGACUUUUUACAUGCAAAGAGAGCUAAUAGAAAUGGAACCUUGCCUCUUUUUUGAUGCUGUAGCAUCCCAUUUCUGCAUCUCCCCAUGUCUUGUUCCUUUCCACUGCUUCCUUUUUGCUCCAUUAUAGAGGUGAGACCACUCUCUUAUUUGUGCUGCCCACAAGCGUCCACUUUUAAGUUGAAGCUUUUCACUAACUUCUCUACUGCAACAAUCCUCCUUUUAUCCAACCUUUCCACUCUACUGGAACGAACGUAGGAUCUAAAACUCUCUCUCUCUCUCUCUCUCUCUCUCUCUCUCUCUAUUGUGGGCAAAUGACAUGAGCUCACUGAGCCAUGUGCUUCUCCUUGCUACCACCCUCAUCUUAAUGCUCUUCAGUGCUCCCCACGGAGCACGUUGUACCAAUAGAUCUCCAAUCUCGUCUCCUCAGGUACUUAUCCAGAUCCUAAAAAGCAAUUAUUAUUCUCGAGAGUUUGUUUGAAUGUAUGAUUAUUUUAUCACCAUAUCUAUUUUAUUUACCGAAAAAAUUUCUAGAGCUUGGCAGAAAAAGUAUAUGAGCAGUUUUUUUUGGGUAGGCAUACUCUACAUAUUAGGUCCCCAAGCUGAAAUAUAGAGCAAAACUCAAACUUCAACCUCAUAAUUACAAUAAUUUUCUUAAAAAAAGUUUCUCAGAGGACCAUAACUUGUUCCGACGUUCAAAACAGUAUCUCAAUUUUACUUUUUUUUUUUUGACCUAGUCUCCGUGAGUAUGAUGAUUUCUCUAAUCUACAUAGGCAAUGUUAAUGGAGGAGAAGAUCCGGUUGGGGUCGACGCCGCCCAGCUGCCACAACCGGUGCAACACCUGCAACCCCUGCACAGCCGUCCAAGUGCCCACCCUCCCCGCCCGCGCCGCGCGCCUACGACCGUCCGAAUCCGACGGCGGCGGCGGAGAGCUCUCCUUCAACGAGUACGCCAAUUACAAGCCGCUGGGUUGGAAAUGCAGGUGCCGCGACCACCUCUACGACCCGUAAUUAGCUUAGCUGUGGGAGAGCAGUUAAAAUGGUCCUCCUUUUCGUUUCCUUCUUUUGUUUUAUUGUUUUGAGUGGUAAUUUCGCCAUUUUCCAGAUCUGGGCCCUCGGCGCAGGUUCCCUGGGAUUCUUUUGGAUGCACGCAGUGAAGAGCACUGCUGUUCAUAUUUUUAAAAUCACACCUUUCAUUUGCCGUCGAUAUAGUGUGCGUACAGCAAGUCACGAGAAAUUCUUGCAUAUCCGCACGUCGAUCUUAAUGCAUCGCAUCUCUAAACUGUCAUACUAUGGAGGCGCCGAAAUUAUUAUACUUUAAUUUACUAUAUAUAUAUAUUUUGUCGCUGUAUAUAUAUAUAUAUAUAUAUAUAUAUAUAUAUAUAUAUAUAUAAAAGUAUUAAUUAAGUUUUGAGUAAUUAUAUUUUGUGUCUAGUUUUGUUGUAUUUUUCAAUAUUGUUGGUUAUUUUAAUUAUUCGAUAUUUAGAUACUAAUUUUUUAAAUUUGAAAUGUCUGUCGGUAAUGAUCGUGUCUCCGUGUCAAUUAUCAUGCGGGUACUGACGGCAAGGUCAGAUCUUUACAAGGGUAAAUGAUGUGGCCGGGAUUUCUGUCUACUGUCUACUUUCUACUGUCUACUGUUAGGACAUAUUUAUUUCAUAUUUAGAACAGAAAUAAAAAAUAAAAUUGAAUGGUUUUGAAAUAGAAUUGAAAUAGAAGAUAAAAUGAUGAAUCAUCUAAAAAUAUUUAGUUUAUUACUGGAAUAAAUGUCUAAAUGAAAAUUUAGAAUUUGUUAGAGGGUUUUUUAAUUAAAAGAGAGAAAAGUGAUGAGAAAGGAGAAUACCUCGUGAGAGAGAAUUUUGAAUAGUUUAUUUUGGAACGAGCCGGUUGAAAAUUCAAAGUCCGACUGGACCGUAAAUGAAUUUGAUCAUUCAUAUUUUCAAGUGGAAUGAAAGUCAACAUUUAAUUUUUUUAAAAUAAAAAUAAUUAUUAAAAUUAAUAAAUUAUAUUUAGAUUUUAUAGUCUAAAAUAGGUGAAUUAAAGAACUAGGCUGCUAUACUAUCGGUAGUACGGAACGCUUCGUGCUACCAAGUUGUUUUCGGUGAUGCAGCUUUCAAAUUGACGAUCGGCUCCGUUAGAUUUGAUCUACACUAUCGAAAGUAUUUAGAAACUAAAUUUCAUAAUUUUUUGAUAUCAUUUACCUAUCAAAUAAGUAGUUUAAAAUUGAACGGCUGAAAAUAAAAAUUUCAUGAAAAAUGAUGAUAAAAGAUUUAAAUUCAAGAUCAGAUAUACUGAUCUUACUCAAAAUAGUGAAAAGAAUUUUGUAUAAAAUUUUCAUCGUAUUUGGAUUGUUUUACACUGUUAAACUCACAAACAUACCACAUCGGUCAUUAAAAUUGUCAAUUUUAAGAUCUUUUAAUCACUAGUCAAAUAAUAUCGAAAAAAUUUAAAAUUUAAUUUUCAAAUACUUUCAAUAGUAUAGAUCAAGUCUAACGGAGCGGAUCGUCGAUUUAAAAGUCGCAUUAUCGAAAAUAACUUGAUAGCACGGAACACUACUCGCUACCGAUAGCAUAGUAGCCGAACUCGUGAAUUAAAUAUGGCCUUUGUUUUAAUAUCUCAUAUCAUCAUGUAUACUGUGUUGGAAAUAGAUUGGGGUGUGAGGGGGGUGAGGGGGGUGAUGGAUUUAGUUAUGUUAUCAUCCCGAGAUAGUAGAGGGCUUCCCCAUGUGUUCAUUGAAUGAGAGGUCUCUUUCGCUCUGGGCGCUCGUAGUGCCACCUAGUAGCCUACCUGAUGUCCCCUUUUUUCGUCCUUGUUUUCUUUUGGGAUUAAUUGCACCAUUCACCCUAUUCUUUAUGCGUCUCUUCAUUUUGGUCCUUAUUUAGUCCCUAUGUUUCAUUUUUAGUUUGAUGUUAAUCAUCCAAAUUUGCCUAAAUUUUAACAAAAUGGGCCACACCAACUUCAUUGAAUUCUUCUGUACUCAUGCAGAUCACUGGCAUAGUCCGAUAGUGUCCUGUCAAUUUUGGUACCGAUUUUUUUAAUUUUUAAGAAAAAAUUGAUAGUACAUUUGGUUCGAUGCAAAGAAUGCCAAAUGCUUCGGAACAUAUCAUAGACAUCAUAUGCAGGUCAUGUGGUUAUAGACAUAGCGGACGAUGUUGAGGAUAGUAAAACUGAGUUUGACGUGAUCUGUUUGCAAAUAGGAAAAGAGGUUAUUGACCAAAAUUUUUUUAAAAAAAUUUAGUUUAGAGACUCAUGAUGUAAUUAAUUCUAAAAGCUAAGAAAUUAACUGUAGAAAAUAAAAGGUUCAGCAUCAAUGGAAAAAAAUUUGGUAAACUUUGGGGACUAAUGAAAAACCCUUUUUUAUUUCUUUUGGGUUUGGAAGAAACCCUAGGGAGCCUGACAUAUAUAUAUAUAUAUAUAUAUUCCUGUGGGAACAUCGAUUACUUAGCCUGUUAGCCUGGAUUCCUAUCUUGGACUGGUGCGGAGUAACCAGAAAAAAAAAUUGUGGUAAAAAAAAUAUUUUAUUUAUUUUUAUAAGAAUUAACGCAUGGCAUAGAUUGCAGUAGUUCGAUUUAGUUGUAUUUUUUGUGGCUCUUUUUUAAGUCUGAUAGCGUCAGAAUGCUCUCAAUACUAGACGAGCCUUCAAGGCACCUAAAAAUCUCUUGUAUUUCUAAUCUAAAUUUAAAAUUCAAAUUAAAAUCACACAAUUGAAUUCGCUAUUUAAAUCCAAUCUCACAUAAUCCCAACCUCUUAGUCGACGUUCCUGACUACAUCAAACAUAGAGACAAACAGUGGACCGAAUUAGAUUGAGCUCAAUCUCUUUUAAUCCCUUACUCCAAACAUGCUCUAAUAAAGGGAUUGUGAGGUUUAUUAAAUUUCGUGCGUGAUUGGGCUUUUAUUAUGUGGGCCAAACUUCAUACCUUACCCACCUUGUACGUUGGGCUUGAAUCACAAAAUUUUUACGUAGCUGCUUAGGCUUCGUGCAUUACCUAGGAUGUCAUGUCAUGUAGAUUGUAGUUUUUUAGUUUUUUAUUAAAUUUUUUAAUACAUAUUUUAACCUUUUUCUUAAUCUAAUAGUUUUUCAUGACCAUUGAUACCAAACAGACUCUUAGUUUAAUAGUUUAUUGAAGGACACAUAGUGUCUUAUAACUAUGAAUAGAAUGAGAAAUAAUACUAUUUGUACAUCUAAAAAUAAAUUAUAAAUUUUAUACCCACUUAUUCGAGAACUUAGACACUGUUUUAGAAAUUUUUAAUAUGAUAUAUUGGCCUUUGAAAAGCUCUUCUUUUAAUUCCUGGUCGAUCUAAACUGAUGACUAAGGCAUGCGAAGCCUAAUUUAAUCCAACACAAGAUCGUACUUUUUCCUUCUCUACUGUAUUAACCCAAAAGCAUGCAUGGCCAAAAAUGUUCUUUGUAUGUUAUAGUGAUUUUCUUUUUCUGAUGACACAUUUACGGAAGUGCGACCAUAUUAUAGUGGUGAUUUGCUAAGUUGGCAAUCCCAGGUAGUAAUUUUGUAAAUUAGAUCUAUAUCUAAGUAAAGCACCCAAAAAAUGAAUUUUUCUUGCAUUAGUUAGAUUGCAAAAAGAUUUUAAAGAGUGGAAUAAUUAAUUAUUGCACCUAUUAGCAAUGUCUUUUUGUCUUUUUCUUUAAACUAUUCAUAAGGGAUAUUACUAUAGGAUGUAUUCAAUUAAUGAUGGACAAUUAUUAGAUCUUAGUGAGGUUUGCGGAUCCUAAGACAAACUACAUAUGUAUAAUCAUUUUUACUAGAAAAAUGCUAAAGUAUAUACAUCUUACAUCCAAGAAUUUAAAGAUUGGUAAACUCCUUUGAAUUUUAGUAAAAAUGGAGAGAAAUCGCGGCCGAUUGAGGUGGGAAUCGCGGCCGAUCGAAGGGGCGGCUGAGGAAGAUGAGUAAGAAGACGAAAAUGGCGAGGGGCAAAAUGGUCAUUUUACACACUGUAACUCCCCUGUGAACAUUUUUCAUUUUUCAUUUUUCAUUUUACAAGGGGGCAAAGUGUAGGUUUUUAAAUAUCAUGGGGGGAAAGUGAAAAAGCGGGUUAUUACAAGGGGCUUUUUUGUAAUUUAGCCAAAUAAUUAUAUGAAAUAUAGUAUUAUAAUAUGAAAAAAAAAUAAUUUAUGAGUUGAAUAUCUAAUUUUUUCAGUCUCACAUGUCUUUUCUUCCGCCUUCAAUCUCUAUAUUAUUCAUUUUCAUUUAUGCAGUCAAAAAUAAAUAAAUUAUAUAGAUAAAUAUUGUAUUAAACUAUCCAAUCAUAUAUAACUAAAAUUAAAAUUUUAUAUGAAUAAUAAUUUUUUACUUUAAAAUAUUCUGUAUAUUUUCAUCAAAGUCAUGACAAUUCAAUAGGCAAGAUAGGCAACGGCGGUAUAUGAUAUUACUUGCUAACUUAGAGGGCUUCCCGCUUGGCCACUUAGGGUGAGAGACAGAAAAAAGAAAGAGAGAAAUAUAUUGAAAUUUAGAGUUCGAAGAAAGAAAGAACGAAAGAAAUGAAAAAUAUUAAAUUUAGUAAAAUUUUGCUCUUUUAUUUGUCUAUUGGUGUUUGUUUUUAUGGCCAACAACAUCAGCCCAAUUUUAACUAAACUCAGAUUAUUCACUUCAGCCUAUAUAUAAUUAAAAAUAUAUAUAUAUAUAUAUAUUAUAUAUAUAUAUUAUAUAUAUAUAUAUAAUAUAUAUAUAUAUAUUAAAAGCAUAUAUUUCAAAUUUCGGUCUAUCGACAGACCCAUUUUUGGUGGGAAAAAAAAUUGAUUUCGCUUUUUUCCUUACGUAAAAUAAAUAAUAGAAUUAAACAAACUGUUAUUUCCCUCUUAUUUUUACAACAGAAAAAAAUUUAUUUUUCCAAAUUUUUUGCCAAUCGAAGAAUAUCUAUUGUGAAUUUUUAUUUAAUUCUUCUUAUCUCUAUAUGUAAUAUAAUAUUUAUAUACUAUCUAUCUAUAUCUAUAUAUCUAUACUAUUUAAACAUAAAUUAAAAUAAUUGCUACGUGCAUUUGCACGUACGCUCAACUAGUAUAUAUUUAUAUAUAUAUAUAAUAUAUAUAUAUUAUAUAUAAUAUAUUAUAUAUAUGAGUCACUACUAUGCUAUCGAUAGUACGGACGCUCGUGCUACAAGUGUUUUGAUGAUGCGGCUUCCAAAUCGACGAUACGGCUCCGUUAGACUUGAUCUACACUCGUUGAAAAGUUUGAAAACUAAUUUUAAAUUUUUUUUCGACAUCAAUUGACAGUGAUCAAAAGAUUCAAAAUUGACAAUUUUAAUGGCCGAUGUGUGUGUUGUGAGUUUAACGGUUAAACAAUUCAAAUGCGAUAAAAAUUUUAUUAGAAAAAUUCUUUUCACUAUUUAGAGUAAGAUCAGUAUAUCUGAUCUUGAAUUUAAAUAUUUUGUCAUCAUUUUUUAUGAGAUUUUAUUUUCAGCCGUUCAAUUUUAGACUACUUGUUUGAUAGGUAAAUGAUAUCGAAAAAUUAUGAAUUAGUUCUAAAUACUUUCAUAGUGUAGAUCAACCUCUAACAGAGCCGAUCGUCGAUUUGAAGCCGCAUCAUUGAAAACAACUUGGUAGCACGGAGGCGCCCGUGCUACCGAUAGUAUAGUAGCCUAGCUCUAUAUAUAUAUAUAUAUAUAUAUAUAAUAAGUGUAGAACUGCUAUGCUAUCGAAUAAUAGAGGAUUUGAUAUUUUUUGAAUUUUUGACCCUUUGAUUAAAAAUGUAUGGUUGGGAUGAUUGCGGUCUCCCUAGGAUUUAAAUAAUACUUUUAGGAUUGAGUGGUCCCUACAAGGUAAAAAUAAUAUUAAUCAAAGAUAAGACGAUUUAAGGAUUGAUCUAAGAUAUCAAAAAAUCGAAACACCGAAAUAAUAAUUUUUUACUUAAAAAUAUUCUGUAAAUAUUUUAUCUCUAAGCCAUCAUUCAAAUAGCAAGAGUAGGCAACGGCGGGUAAAAAUAUGAAAUAUUAUUGCUAUGACUAGAGGGCUCGCUUGGCCCACUUAGGAGUGAUGAGACGAGGAAAUCAAAGAUAGAGGAAUAGUAAAUUGCAAAUUUUAAAGAGUUCGAAAAGAAAGAAGAAAACGAAAAAAUGAAAAAAUCAUAAUUUUAGUAAUAAAUUUUGCCUCUUUUUAAUUUGUCUAAUUGGGUUUUGUUUUUUAUGGGCCAACAAACAUUAGAAAUUUUAAACUAAAACUCAAAAUUUAUUCACUCGCCUACUUAAUAAAUAUAUAAAUAUUAUUAUCAUAUAUUAAUAUAUAUUUAAUAUAUAUAAUAUAGUAUAUAUAUUAAAAGCAUUUUUAAAUUUCGUCUAAUAAUCGACUCAAGCGCAGUUUUUUGGUGGAUCAAAAAAAUUGAAAUUUUGCUUUCCUUAGUAAAAUUAAAAAUAAAUAGAAUUAAAACAAACUGUUAAUAUCUCUUUUAUUUUUAAAACAGAAGAAAUAACAUUUAUGUUUUUAUCAAUUGUUUUGCCCAAUGAGAGAAUAUUUAUUGUGAAUUUUUAUUUAAAUAUUCUUCUUUAUCUGGUAUAAUGUAAUAAGAUAAUAUUUUAUAUAAACUAACAUAUAUCUUAUUAAUUUAUAUAUACUAUUUUAAAAUAUUAAAAAUAAUUGCUACCGUUGGCAAAUUGCAACGUAACGUCAGCUAAGUAUAAUAAUAUAUUAUAUAAAUAUAUAUAAUAUAAUAAUAUAUAUAUUAGAAGGGUCCAGCUUACUUAAUGCUCUCCGAUAGUGAGCGGAAGCGGCUCGGUGGCUACCAGUUUUUGGUGUUUCGAUGAUGAUGGCGGCGUUCCAAAAUGAAAGACCGCUCGUUUAAGACUUGGAAUUACACUUGUUGAAAAGUAUUUGAAACUAAUUUUUUUAAAUUUUUUUCGUAAUCAAUUUUUGAAACUAGUGAAUUCAAAAAAUCUCAAAAAAUGAAAUUUUAAUGGCCGAUGUGGUGUGGUUUGUUGGAGUUCACGGUGUAAUAAACAAUUUCAAAUGGAUGAAAAUUUUAUAGAAAUCUGUUCACUAUUAGAGUAAAGAAUCAGUAUAUCUGAGGCCUUAGAAUUUAAAUAGUGUUUUGUCAUCAAUUUUUUAUAGAUUUUUAUUUUUUUUCAACAGCCGUUUCAAAUUUUUUAAGACUUAAUUGUUUUGAUAGGUCUAAAAUGGAAUAUGAAAAAUUAAUGAAAUUAUAGUUCUAAAUAACUUUCAAUAGUGGUAGAUCAACUCUAACAAAAAGCACGAUCGUCGAUUUGGAAGCGGCAUACAUUGAUAAAAUACGACUUGGUAGCAGCGGAGCGCCCCCGUGCUACGAUAGUGAAAAAUACGUAAGAACUAGUCUAUAUAUAUUAAUAUAUAUUAAUAUAGUAGUGGUAAAGAACUUGGCUAUGCUAUCGGAAAAUAUAAGAAAAUUUGAUAUUUUUUGAAAAUGUUUUAUGAACGGUUGAAUAAAAAAUAUUGUAUGGUUUUUGGGAAUGCUUGCGGUCUCCCCUGGAAUUAGAAAUAAAUACUUUUGGCAUUGAGUGUCCUACAAGUAAAAAAUACGAUUAGAUCCAAAGAUAAGAAAAGAGUUUUAUAAAGGGAUUGUCUAGAAAUCAAGAAAAAUCGAAAAGCACCAGAUACUCUACCUUAGAUAGCAUAGUAGCUCUACUAUAUAUAUAUAUAUAUAUAUAUAUAUAUUCGAGCUUUUCAAGCUUUUCGAGCCUAAUUCGAACGAGCCAAGUAAGACUCAAGCUCGGCUUGAAAUGAAUUUCGAGCCUUUUUUUUUGCUCAAGCUCGGCUCAUUUAAACGCGAGUCGAACGCGAGCUGGCUCGCUCAUUUGCCAUCCCUAAAUGUGAUGGUGGGCAUUUUUGAUAUAUUUUAUUAAUUUAUAGUGGCAAAAGUAAUAUUGAUAAUUUUGAAAGAGCAUCUAUGAUAUUUUAAUUAUAACUUUUGACGAGUACAUAUUUGAAAUUGCUUUAAUUUUUUACACUACAAUAAAAUUAGGUUAUAGGAAUACAUUUUUGGGACACUUUUAUAUAAGUGUCCCAUUUGUGCCAAAAUUUUUUUAAGGCUAAAUUACAAAAACCCUCCUGUAAUAACCUGCUUUUUCACUUUCCCCCCUAAGAUUUAAAAACCUAUACUUUGCUCUCUUGUAAAAUGAAAAAUAUUCACAGGGGGGUUACGGUGUGUAAAAUGACCAUUUUGCCCAUCGCCAUUUUCGUCUUCUUCCUCAUCUUCCUCAGCCAUCCCUUCGAUCGGCUGCGAUUCUCACCUCAAUCGGCCGCGAUUUCUCUUCAUUUCCUUCUCCACCUGCUCCCCUUCUCCUCCUACACCCUCGCCGCCCCUCGAUUUCGACGAUAAUAGGGAGGAAAUCGAGGUGGGUGUUGAUGGAGAGGUAGGCAAGGACAACGAGGGCGAAGGCGAGGCGGCGGAGGAGGGCGAAGGGGAUCUGGGCGAGGGAGAGGUACUGGAGGACGGCGAGGCGGCGGCGAGGCGGUGAGCCGGAAGGAGGCGAAGCAAUAAGGAAGAGGGCGGAGGGGUAUUUUCGGCAUAAAAAAAUAUUUUAUAACGGAACCCUAACGGUAAGGGGUGAAGUGCACAUUUUUUAUUUUAUAAGGGGGCAAAGUGUAGGUUUUUAAAUGUCAGGAGGGAAAGUGGAAAAGCGGGUUAUUACAGGGGGAUUUUCUGUAAUUUAGCCUUUUUUAAAAAAUCUAUUAAGGUCUAAAUAUAAAGCCCAAUCCAAUUAAAAAUAAAAAGUUUCUCUACUCAACCAAUCACAGCCAGCCUACUCGGUCCGAUUACAAAUAAAAAAAAGGAAGAAAAAAAAAAGAAAAAUUGAUCACCAUCUCUCCUUCUCCUUCUCUGUCGCCGCAGCUAACGAGGUAGUGUUCCGGCGGCUGGAAUUCAGCCGCGAGGAUCUCGCAAGGACCGUAGAGGGCUACGAUCGCCACGUAUCCCUCGCCACAGGUCGCUGGAGUAGUGGGUACCAAAUAUCAAGGCGACCCUACCUAUAGCGACUCCACAUAUAGCAAUACUUUUAAAAAGUGUCGGUAAUUUAGUCAGCGGCACUUUUUUUGACGUGUACCGAUAUUUAAAAGUAUCACUAUACAUAAUUUUUAUUGUAGUGUUAGCAUGAAGCUUUUAUCACUGUUUUCACAGUUAGUAGUCUAGGAGAUUUUUUUUUCUUUGAGAAACAAAUAGUAUAUUAUCUGCUUCAAUCAUAAAAAAAUGAUUUAGUUUACGAGCGUGAGAUAACCGGGCCUCGAAAAGAAAAUAAAAUAACUAAAAUAAAAUAAAAUAAAAUAAAGAUUAAGAUGGUUGGUUAGCCUUCCCUAGACUACCAGUAGUUUAGAAGACUAGUACAUUUAUCACUGACGCUUUCAUUGAACAGUUCCAUUCAGCAUCUGUCCAAAAAUGAAAAAUCAGAUCUAAUCAAACAUCCCCAAGAACAUGGCAACUUUGUUAGGGAGAAUUUAAUACGGGUACCACUGUAGCUUUCUUUAACCAGCUCAACUCAGCAUUUGUCCAAAAAUCGCAUCUAAUCAACAUUCCCGAGGAAUUGGGCAAGUCCACACUUAUUUACUCGAUCAUGUAAUAUUUAUCUAUGAUUUAGACAUGGUAUAAAAUAUCAAUGUAUUGAAGUUGACAUCUAACAAUAAUAAUAAAUAAUAAUAGUAAUAAUCCUUUUUUAUGUAUAUAUACUUCGUAUAGGAUGUUGAUGUUUGCAUUAAAAUGCGUAUCAAAGUAUCCUUUGUGCAAGGGGUUCGGAAUAUCAUUAUCAAAAACGACAGAGCAACUGCUGAUGUAAUUCAAUUCAAACUUCUUCGGGGGCUACGUCCAGGUGAAAAUUUUUAUUUUAAUGAUUAUUUUUUUUAGCUCGUUUUUUCCUUUGUUUGCUCACGCGCUUCCGACCUUGAUUUUUCUAUUUUGGUUAUGUAGGUGUUGAAUAUAUAAAUUAAAAUCAUCAUUUUUUGACAGUUUGAAUUUUGAGAAAAAAAUAAAUUUUUAUACAAUUUCAUAUGGUAUAAAACUAAAAAAAUUCUUUGUUCGAAUUUUGUCAAACUGUUAACAUUAUUUAGUUUCUUCCUAUUUAAUUCAGGUCCAUAUUUUGGACUUGUUAAAAGUUUCGAGUACAAAUAUAAUGAGAGAAAGUAUUGAAAAUAUAAAUUAGGAAUAUCAUUCUUUAAUACUUUUAAAAGCCGUCUCAUAUAUUUAAUAAUAAAUUUGGAGAAUUUUUUUUGUGUCUUUUUUUAUUUAUUUAGGUUUAGGGACUUUUCUUGUUAUCUUCCUCGAUUUGUUUUGUUUGGGAGAUUUUGGGAGAUUGUUUCGUUGUUGAUGUCCUCAGCAUUUUGAGGCGGUGCUUUAUGUUCCUCCAAAAUUAUGUCGAAGUAAUCAAACUCCGAUAUUUAUUUCCCCUAGAGAAAGGUCGUCAACAUAAACAGCUAGAUAAAAUGCCUUUUGUCCACAACCGUUGUUAAAAGUUCACAGGUUAACUAUAAUAGUUAUUUUCGAUAGUGGAACAUUCGAUUCGGCGGUCGAAUUUACUUACCGUAAUUAACAGUAUUAAAAUUAUCUAAAAAUUAAAAUUUAUAAUUUUUUUUAACUUUAUGUUUCUUCAAAUUUAUAUGUUGGCGGCUUAAAAGAGCCAGUAUUUUGUCCUACGACGGAAAGCUAGAUAGGCUAGGUCUAAUCUCAUUCGAAAUGGCAGGAGGUUGCGUUGGAGCGAGUUAUGUUCGAAAUGGCAGGAUGCUGAUUGGGUCAAAUUACAAUUGAAACUCGUAUGCGCUGUAUUUAUAUGUUUUGAGUAAAUUGAUUGUAUUUUUCUAAUAGUUCGAGCUUUGGGAAUUAACAUAUAGCAUUAGACUACAAUACUUUCGAAAGUACGUAGACAUAUAUAUUUAUAAGUUAUUUUGGAUAAUUGGACAUUCGAUUCGAUGAUCGGUUUUAUUAGAUAAAAUCUGCAAUGUUAAAACUAUCGAAAAGCUAAAUUUUAUAAUUUUUAACUUUAUUUGACUAGUAAACGUAUAGACUUAAGCUACUAGAUUGAACGAGAAUUACUAAAUAUGUCGUAUUCAUAAACACGUGUGGAUCGAUCUGAAUUGAGUCGAAACUCUACUGAUGCGCACCUAUUAAUUGAACGGCAAAAGACUCGGCCCAAAUUUUUUAUCUGUAAAAAUAAAAUAAAAUAAAAUAAGGAAAACAAAAAAUUCUUUGAUACUGCUGAUAACAACCGCGAACGAUAGGAACUGGGGAUUGACUAAAGAUGGGGGAACUCGAGAUUUUCUUUUUCUUUCUUGGGUCGAGCUUAGCCGGACCACAACCGAAGUAGAUGCAGUGACGAUGAUGCUUUUUUCGUUUUUUUAAUUGAGAUAAAACGAUGCAAAUUGACAUAGCACCACUGCAAUUACUCUGGGCUAUUUAUUAUUAUGCUAAAAUAGGUUUAACAUUCUGUUCCGUAAUAAUAGAUUUAGAAGAUUAAUAAGUUAAGUUGGGUGAGCCUAAUAAAUUGAGCGGAGGUGCGGUCUACAAAAGAUCUAAUGGCAAUAGACUCAACAAUAGAUCUAACGUUCGGAUGAAUUAAGUCAAGUUGAAGCUCGCGAGCGCUGUGGCUGAGCCCUUAAGUGCGAUGGAUGCGCCUUUCCUAUCAGCAUGUGCUUUUAGAAUAGUUGGUUAGUAUUUACGAUAUGACAAGUGGUAUAAGAGCUAGUGGCGCGGGUUCGAUUCCCACAUGCUGUAUUAACGAUGCAUAUGACUAAUAAGUUGAAUUGGGUAAGCCUAAUAAGUUGAGUGAUGUACAAUCCAUAGGAGACCUAACAGCUAGAGGCUCAACAAUAGACCCAACGCUCGGAUGGGUUGAAUCAGGUUGAAAUCCGCGAGCGUUAUAGCUGAACCCUUAAGUGUAACCCUUAAGUGCAACGAGUACGUCCUAGAACGUAUUUUUAGAAUAGUUGGUUAGCAAUCUACAGUUACCACUCGGAUAAAACUCGAACGAAAGUUGAUCGGAAAAAAUGGGGUACGGCUUCAACAAUGUGCGUUUCAUAUUUUUAAUUAGGAAAAAAAAUAAUUUUUUGAACAAUUACUUUUUUUUGUUUAAAGUAGGGUAUUUUUGGUAAAUUCCGCGUGAUGCCAAAUUAAAAAGAUAAAAUCAAAACAGGUCGAAGCUAGUUUCCUGUUUCCCUGCGUAGCACUGAAACCCAGAUGUUUCAUUUUAACUCUAAUUUAGAAUUUUUAAUGGUUUAUAUUAUUAUUUGCAUAUAGAGCUUUUUGUUUUGUCAGAAUUGGCUUUAAAUAAAAAUGAAUACUACCAAUAAAAAUGGACUUAAACUUACCAAAUUAUAUGCAUGUAUUGCGUCCUCGUCUCACUUGGACUACGUUUGUGGAAUAGAAGGUGUAUGCGCAAGAAUAAUUCCGUCACUUAACAUGAAUUUUGUCAUAUUUGAUUAUAUCUAAUGUUUGUUAUAUACAUUUCUCAUCCAAAAUUUAUUUUUAAAAAGCUUUACAUCCGAAAUUCCUAACAUCUGCUAUUAGUAAUGCAUAUCAUUGGACAGUUAUUUGUUGACGAUCUUCUAUUUAACUCCAUUUUCCUUCUAAUCAAUGGAUUUUGGAUCGUUUCAUCGUAUUAAAUUAGUAUGUGAUAAUUUUUACACCACAAAUGUUUAAACCAUCAUUGUAGAUAUUGUAUUAAAAGUUUUAUUUGUGUAAUUCUUUAAAUAUUAUCCUUGUAUAUUAUUAAAGUGUUAAUAUUUUUUGAGAAAUAAUUAAAGUGUUAAUAUAGGAAUUAAUACUUUGCAUUAUUAAUACAAGCACUCUAAACGUUAUGUAUGGUAAGCAUUUCACUUCUUGUAUUAGCCGCAUUCAGAUGAGAAUUAAGAGACUUUGAUGGAAAUUAAAGAAUAUCCAUACUAAAACAAUACUUAAUAAAAAUCAGGUAAGAUCAUAAAGUACCGUAACUCCAAAAGUGAAAAGUUAACCAAGACCCAUAAAUUUUUUUUCACCACAUAUCCAUUUAUUUAAUUUAUUCCCAAAAUUAUAGCUAUCACCAACUUAGUUCCACUUAAUUACUUCGUCUAUCGAUAAUUUGUAAAUAAAGAAAUACCGAGUUAUAAUUCUACAACUAUCCAAAACUCGUUUUCUUUAUAAUACUUUAUUUUAUCCUAGAUUUAGCAUUUCUUUUUCUUUAUCUUUUAAACUACGAUACGGAGCAUACAUGCACCGUUCAAAACAUACAUAUCUAGACAACAUCUUUUUUUGGAAGCAGCACUUGGUGAACCAACUUGUUGAAAUUUACGAAAGAGGGACCACCCUCCUGCGUCGCCUUCACCGCGAUCUCCUUCCACUCCAUGGCCCUCCUCUUCAUCUCCUUCCCCUUCUCACCUCCCAUGAUCUCUCUUAUCAACCCCUCCACCUCCUUCCGCUUCACGUCGUUGUCGAUCUCCAUCCCUAUACCCCACUCCGUGCUCACGUAUCUGCCGAACAUAAAUGAUUAAUUAAAAUCAAUUGAAGUUGGUUUUUUUACCAGUGAUUUAAGGUUUUAGAGUAAAACGGUUAUUUUGUAGUACCUGCAGUUGGUUUGCUGCUCUGCAAAGAAGGGCCAGCUCAGCAUCGGCACCCCACCGCACACGCUCUCCAGCGUGGAGUUCCACCCGCUGUGUGUGAGGAACGCGCCCACCGCGGGGUGGCGAAGCACUUCCUCCUGCGGGCACCAGCUCGCCAUGAGCCCCCUCUCCCUCGUCCCCGCUACAAACUCCGGCGGGAGCAGCGCGGCGUCGCCCUUAACAACGUCGGGCCUGAUGAUCCACAGAAACUCGUGCUCGCUAUUCGCGAGCCCCCACGCGAACUCUAUCAGUUGCUGGUUCGUCAUGACUGUUAUGCUACCGAAGUUCACGUAGACAACGGACCCCGGCCUUUUGUUUUCCAACCAUUUUAAGCAAGCGGACUCCUCCUUCCACAGGCUGGAGCCCACGGAGCUGAGUGGGCCAUGGGGGAUGUGGCGGGCGAGGAGGGGGAGGGGGCCGAUGGUGUACAUGGGUGGCAGGAUUGCCGCCAUGGCUUCGAGCACUGGGCGCUCGAAAUCGUCGAACGUGUUGAGGAGGACAGCGGACGCCAUGGCGGUGCGCUCUGCCUCGCGUAGGAGGAAGUUCGCCAUGAUGUCGUCGGCGUCCACCGUACGGAUGAAGCUGGGGAAGUCUCGUAGUCUCAUGUUCGUCGCUCCCGGUACCCCAUCGAUCGGUGUUUCGAGAUACCCAUCAGUUAGCUGACCUACAUCUGUUCACACAGAACCUGUCAAGAUCCAUUCAGGUAGCAGGAACAAACAUACUGAAAGCAGAAGCACAGUCAAACAGUUCUGAAAGCGUGCCGCACCUUUAAGCGGAAAGAUACCCUUCUCCAUGAGUUGCCUGUAGUGGCGAUAGCUGAUGUAGCCAAUGGCACUAGCAGUCCAAAAGAGGACGAUGGGGAUGCCGAGCUCCUUUGCGGCGUCCAGCGUGAAGCUCAUGACGGCAUCGGAGACGACGCAGGUUACCUUCGGGACGCCCGAUGACGGGUCGUUGAGCUCCGCGAGGAGUUUGCGGAAGUGGGGGAGGCAGUUGGUCAUGGUGGACCGGCAGAGGGAGGGGACGUCCUGCGUCUUAUCCUCAUCCGAGAAGGGGAGGCCGUCGGGUAUGGUGGCGAAUCGGAAGUCGGGGAGGCCAUCGAGAGCGGCCGGGCCCUGUGACCGGAGAAGGCGGCGGUGGUUGUACUCGGUGUUGACGAAGGUGAUGUGGAAUCCAUGGAGGGAGUGGAGGAGCUUAGCCACCUUCAACACGGGCGUCACGUGGCCCUGCGCGGGGUAGGGGAUGCACACUGCAUGGGGCUUAUGAUCAGAUCCCACAGAACCCAUCUCUCUAUCUCUAACCGGGAUAUUUUUUGGAGGGGGUUGCUUUGUGUGGCUUAGAAAUUAAGGAGCUUCUUGGCUCUAUAUAUAUAGGGGGUGGGAUGUUAUAUAUCUUUCGUCGUGUUGGAGCUCCAAUUACAUAUUGGCCCCACGAUUGCAAGUAAGUUUGCAAUUAAUAGUAGCUAAAUGCCCAAGGAGACUUCGAGGAACCGCUCUUAACUUUGUGGAGGGCCGGCAGGAUAGCCCAGUUGCAUGUGCAUAUAUAUGUCGUGUAUAACACUUAUAUUAUAUUAUUUAUUUUAAAUUAGUUAUAUUUUUUAUUUUUAUAUUAUUCUACAAUAAAAAUAUUUUUUAAAAAAUAAUAAUGACGCAUGAAAAUUUUACGAUUGAUUGGAGGCAUCACAUCAGCAAUUUAACUUCUAAAUUUUUUUUUGACUCAGAGUCGUAAAUUGUAAAUUGAAUGUACAUGUACCAUUCAUGUAGCUUUCAAAUUUAUAUUCUUUGCACAACUUGUAGAAGAUGAAACAAUCAUAAGUUGGGGGACUAAUUCUUGUCUAUGGGGCGAAAUAAUAGUAAAGUGAUUAGUCCCGUCAAUUAACUCACUUAUUCCAAAGAGUAUUGCGUGCACCGAUGAUCACCAUGUUAGCAGGCAACCAUUGUACUACUUCCACAUAAUAAAUACAGUUUAAUUAAAAUUUAGAAGUAAAUCCGGAUAGUUCAGAAAUGAUUCAAGAUAGAAUUUGAUAUAUAUAUAUACACGCAUAAUAGCCAACACUUAAUGAGGAGGGCUACUGUACUAUUAGGAGCACGACAGUACUUGUACUCUUAAGUUUCUGACCAUCGAUCAAUUUUGAUGGGUUGUUAGGAUAAUAGGAAAAGAGUAAUUUGAAAAAAAAUUCAAAAAGAAGAGAAAUUCAGAUGCCCAAUUUUUUUUAAUUUUUCUUCUCUUUCUCAUCCUAGCCAUCCUUUAAAAUUAAUAGAUGGGUAGAAAUAUAAGAGCACAAGAGCUAUUGUAUUCCUUAAUUGUGUUCUAAAAUUAUGCUUAGUUUGGGAACUAAACUCUAGUAAAUGACUUUUGUUAUUUAAGAAAAUAAAAAAUAUUUUUAUAAGAUGGAAGUUAUAAAUUUACAUUUGAAUGU